GCCACCACAAGGGCUGCUCCACCUUCUCCUCUAUUUUCAAGCCAAACUCCCCCCUCCAACUUCGAUUUGGACGAAGAGAAGCAAAGAUGUCGACGGCGCGCCUCUUUUGGUGAAGAACGUGCAUAGUGGGUGUGGGGGUUUGCUGAACGUGGGUGGAAACGGUUGCCGCGACAUGGGCAGUUGCUGCAGCGCCGAAGAAACUGCUGCUAGGGUUCAGUUUUUUUUUUCUGCUGAAAUUGUUCAAUAGCUUGGGCUGUAAUUUGGACUAAUAGAUGGGCUUGUAACUUGGGCUACGUUUUAUUAAAUUUGUAAUUGUGUUUGGUUUUAGUUUC
This is a long non-coding RNA of Gossypium raimondii (Peruvian cotton), 332 nucleotides long. RefSeq lists it as uncharacterized. The transcript is spliced from 2 exons. Lineage: Eukaryota; Viridiplantae; Streptophyta; Magnoliopsida; Malvales; Malvaceae. The record is from RefSeq and is a predicted model, not a curated record.